Molecule: ribosomal RNA, 459 nt
Filed under: uncultured bacterium
Lineage: Bacteria
Description: partial 16S ribosomal RNA
Rfam family: Bacterial small subunit ribosomal RNA
Source: RNAcentral
CCUACGGGUGGCAGCAGUGAGGAAUAUUGGUCAAUGGGCGGGAGCCUGAACCAGCCAAGCCGCGUGAGGGAAGAAGGUACAGCGUAUCGUAAACCUCUUUUGUCAGGGAACAAAGGCGGGGACUAGUCCCCGGAUGAGGGUACCUGAAGAAAAAGCAUAGGCUAACUCCGUGCCAGCAGCCGCGGUAAUACGGGGGAUGCGAGCGUUAUCCGGAUUUAUUGGGUUUAAAGGGUGCGCAGGGGGCCUGUUAAGUCAGCGGUAAACGCCCGGGGCCAAACCCCGGCGAGCCGUUGAAACUGGCGGGCUGGAGUUGGAGAGAAGUACGCGGAAUGCGCGGUGUAGCGGUGAAAUGCUUAGAUAUCGCGCAGAACCCCGAUUGCGAAGGCAGCGUACCGGCUCCACACUGACGCUGAGGUACGAAAGCGUGGGUAGCGAACAGGAUUAGAUACCCCAGUAGUC